Molecule: ribosomal RNA, 432 nt
Filed under: uncultured bacterium
Lineage: Bacteria
Description: bacterial SSU rRNA
Rfam family: Bacterial small subunit ribosomal RNA
Source: RNAcentral
GACGAACGCUGGCGGCACGCUUAACACAUGCAAGUCGAACGGAGAACAUUGAGCUUGCUUAAUGUUCUUAGUGGCGGACGGGUGAGUAACACGUGAGUAACCUGCCUCUGAGAGUGGGAUAGCUUCUGGAAACGGAUGGUAAUACCGCAUAACAUCAUGGAUUCGCAUGUUUCUGUGAUCAAAGAUUUAUCGCUUAGAGAUGGACUCGCGUCUGAUUAGCUAGUUGGUAAGGUAACGGCUUACCAAGGCGACGAUCAGUAGCCGGACUGAGAGGUUGAUCGGCCACAUUGGGACUGAGACACGGCCCAGACUCCUACGGGAGGCAGCAGUGGGGAAUAUUGCACAAUGGGGGAAACCCUGAUGCAGCGAUGCCGCGUGGAGGAAGAAGGUUUUCGGAUUGUAAACUCCUGUUGAAGAGGACGAUAAUGACGG